Molecule: transfer RNA, 74 nt
Filed under: Dunaliella salina
Lineage: Eukaryota; Viridiplantae; Chlorophyta; Chlorophyceae; Chlamydomonadales; Dunaliellaceae
Description: tRNA-Val
Source: RNAcentral
GCAUCCAUGGUCUAGCUGGUCAUGACGACCGCCUAACACGCGGUAGGUCCCCAGUUCGAGUCUGGGUGGAUGUA